UUCAGGUCAAAUGCGCUGCGUAGGAUUCAGCUUUGCAGUGCUUGCAGCAUUACAAUGGGCUGUCUUAAGUACUGCCGAAGAGUUGUCAAAUAAAUCAGAGUGUGUGAGUUCAGGAUUUUUGCCGGAAUCGCUUCAAUGUGGUUCUUGUGGCGACUUGGGUAAAUUUGGAUUGUCAUCAUUGAAAGAAAGUUGUCUAGAUUGCUGCCACGGAGACUCCCUUGCCAAUACGUAUCACAGUGCAGUCAUCGAAGUAUGCAACUGAAAGUUGCCAAAAUUCCCCCAGCUGGACGCCUUUAUAAAGACAAAGCUGGACAGUAAAGCAUUUCCCCAGGUCAAAGUAAAGUACCUCCGAGGGAAGAUGCCUUUGCUGAAACUUCUUGAUGAGAGUGGAGGAGUUAUGGAUGAAUUGAACAUAGAGAAGUGGGAUACAGACAGCAUUGACGAGUUCCUGAGGGAAAAGUUUCAGUUAUAGACAAAAGUUAAUUUUAAAUACAAUCAUUUAGCAAAGUUCUCUCACAGCCAUUUUUGAGGAGAGCCAUUUUAAACUAGUUUGGUGAGUUUUAGGCAAAACUCCAAUUUAGAAAGCGGGAGUGCUGCGGCUUCUAUUUGUUCUAUAAGAAUUGAUUUGAUGUUUUGCAAAAUCAGAUGAGUUGAUUGUUGAUUAAUUUGCGUAAACAGAUGCCGUUAAUUCUCUUCUAAAAUAUUUAAGCAACUCAUUUUCCGUCAGAAUCAACUGCAAAAAAUAUAAUAUUUUAUUUUGAAAUUUGGUUGUUUGACGGAAUUUAGCUGUUCAAGGCAAAAGUUUUCAUCUAUUGGGUUCGACAAAACAUGAGCUGUUGUGAUUUCAUUACUUUACAAUCAAAUACUAUGAAAUGGGCAAAACCCGAAAUAAUUCCAUUCCUCCAAAUUGAAUAUGGGCCCGAAACUCACCAAAGGAUUAAUAACUAUUAGCUUUCUGUCGGAAUUUUAAGCAACCGUUUUGAUAGCGGUUUUGAGCGCAACCCAGUAUGGCUAAAAGUGCAUCAAAGUGUUGGCUCUCGAAAAGUACUGUGCGAAUACUUUUGCUAUAAGACGCGGUGUUUAAGUGCAGUUCAAAGAGUUCAUCUAUUCAGUUUGACCUAUUUUGGGUCUUCGUUUUUUUCGGUGCAAAGGUUAUUUAUUUAUUGAAGUGUACAUAUUUGUUCUAAUAUUGAUUAUUAAUGUUUGUAGUUAAUGUAAAAACUUGAUGAAAGGUUUUGGGUUGAUUUUGUUGGUUUUUUAACUCUAUAUUUGAAGCAACGUAUGACGCCUGCUGAAAGAACCUCUUCUGAGGACUUGGCAGGCCGAACAGGAUCUUUAUCCAUGUUUCAUUUGAACAGUUAUUCUCGCCAGAAGUCUCAAUUCAAAUCAUUUUCACUA
Long non-coding RNA from Symsagittifera roscoffensis, 1398 nucleotides. RefSeq lists it as uncharacterized. The transcript is spliced from 5 exons. The record is from RefSeq and is a predicted model, not a curated record. NCBI's taxonomy places the organism in Eukaryota, Metazoa, Xenacoelomorpha, Acoela, Convolutidae.